UGGGGAAUAUUGGACAAUGGGCGCAAGCCUGAUCCAGCCAUGCCGCGUGAGUGAUGAAGGCCCUAGGGUUGUAAAGCUCUUUCACCGGUGAAGAUAAUGACGGUAACCGGAGAAGAAGCCCCGGGUAACUUCGUGCCAGCAGCCGCGGUAAUACGAAGGGGGCUAGCGUUGUUCGGAUUUACUGGGCGUAAAGCGCACGUAGGCGGACUAUUAAGUCAGGGGUGAAAUCCCGGGGCUCAACCCCGGAACUGCCUUUGAUACUGGUAGUCUUGAGUUCGAGAGAGGUGAGUGGAAUUCCGAGUGUAGAGGUGAAAUUCGUAGAUAUUCGGAGGAACACCAGUGGCGAAGGCGGCUCACUGGCUCGAUACUGACGCUGAGGUGCGAAAGCGGGGGGAGCAAACAGG
RNAcentral lists this ribosomal RNA (404 nucleotides) under Actinomycetes bacterium. Its description in RNAcentral is "Actinobacteria bacterium partial 16S ribosomal RNA". It matches the Rfam family "Bacterial small subunit ribosomal RNA", at positions 355 to 776 of the family's 1533-position model. Lineage: Bacteria; Bacillati; Actinomycetota; Actinomycetes. The record is from RNAcentral.